Molecule: ribosomal RNA, 495 nt
Filed under: Pseudomonas sp. CL1.103
Lineage: Bacteria; Pseudomonadati; Pseudomonadota; Gammaproteobacteria; Pseudomonadales; Pseudomonadaceae
Description: bacterial SSU rRNA
Rfam family: Bacterial small subunit ribosomal RNA
Source: RNAcentral
UUGAUCCCUGGCUCAGAUUGAACGCUGGCGGCAGGCCUAACACAUGCAAGUCGAGCGGCAGCACGGGUACUUGUACCUGGUGGCGAGCGGCGGACGGGUGAGUAAUGCCUAGGAAUCUGCCUGGUAGUGGGGGAUAACGCUCGGAAACGGACGCUAAUACCGCAUACGUCCUACGGGAGAAAGCAGGGGACCUUCGGGCCUUGCGCUAUCAGAUGAGCCUAGGUCGGAUUAGCUAGUUGGUGAGGUAAUGGCUCACCAAGGCGACGAUCCGUAACUGGUCUGAGAGGAUGAUCAGUCACACUGGAACUGAGACACGGUCCAGACUCCUACGGGAGGCAGCAGUGGGGAAUAUUGGACAAUGGGCGAAAGCCUGAUCCAGCCAUGCCGCGUGUGUGAAGAAGGUCUUCGGAUUGUAAAGCACUUUAAGUUGGGAGGAAGGGCAGUAAAUUAAUACUUUGCUGUUUUGACGUUACCGACAGAAUAAGCACCGGCUAA